GGGAAGAUGGAUUGGAGGAUGUAACUGAGGAAGUUAUGAGGAUAAGGAAGGAAGGAACAAUUGAAGAAUACCAAGAUAGGUUUGAGGAUGUAAGGAUUAGACUUGAGAGGGUUAUGCCUAACUUGGUUGAAGCCUAUUUUCUUUUUGUAUUCAUGGGGGGAUUAAAAGAUGAUAUCAGGCCUAUGGUUAGGAUGAUGAAACCUUCUACACUUUCCCAUGCUUUUGAGAUUGCUAAGUUCCAAGAACAAUUCUUGAAUAGUUACCAAAAUAAUUUUAGAUCUACUUCUUAAUACUUCUUCAACGCCUUCCUAUAGAUUUGCAGAGUCACAUUUCACCAAUUCCUAUACACCCAAGUUGGGGAGGGUAUUGUUACAUAUU
This 378-nucleotide unclassified non-coding RNA is filed under the name Hevea brasiliensis (rubber tree). Lineage: Eukaryota; Viridiplantae; Streptophyta; Magnoliopsida; Malpighiales; Euphorbiaceae. The record is from RNAcentral.